Podarcis muralis (Common wall lizard) is the source of this 3663-nucleotide long non-coding RNA. The record is from Ensembl. NCBI's taxonomy places the organism in Eukaryota, Metazoa, Chordata, Lepidosauria, Squamata, Lacertidae.
ACCCUUUCGUCUUGCGAGUUUUUGUCUUGCAAGGCAUUCGUCUUGCGAGACUUGGAUCCUGCCAAAGUCUGUACUGGAAAGGGGGCUGUGACCCUCUGGGCGUCUCCAACCUAUGAGGAGAAUCGGAGCGUCAGUCCUACAAGUCAUUCACAAGACGUCCACCAAUCUGAAAGUAAGUCCAAAGUGCGAGAUAAUAGCCAUAGACUAGAUAGAAAGUUACCGCUUAGUGUCGACUCCAAUGGGGAUGCUCAGUCCUCUGCUCUGGCUGCCAAGGGCUACCGCAGUGUGCGGCCAAACCUCUCUGAGAGCAAACCACACGACCCCUGUCCUCUGCUCUAUGAAGCGCCCAGGUCCAGCAGUGGCACAGAGUGCUAUGGCUCCCUAACUCUCACCAGCAAACCCACCUCUGGGUACCCCUCCACCACCAUAGUCAACCCCACCAUCGUCCUUUUGCAGCACAACAGAGAGCCAGCGAUAGAUGUGCCACUAGUGGAUAAAGUAGAUUAUAUGCCUGUCCAAGAAAAGAUGAGCCAAAGCAAGAAACAAGGAAUGGAGGAAAGGAAGAAAGUAAUUAAGAGUCCACAGUACAUGACCGAUUCCUCACCGGAUGACAUAGGCAUUCCAUUAAGGAACACGGACCGAUCAAAGGACUGGUACAAGACGAUGUUCAAGCAGAUUCACAGGCUGACAAAAGAUGAAGAUUCCGAUUCCUGUGUGCCUCAGUACUCCUUUUACAAAGACACAAGAGCACAGACUUCAGUACCCCGUUCCAAGAGCGAGAACGACACUAUCGACAUGGAGAAAGUGGUCAAGAGAUCUGCCACUCUGCCCCUGCCAGCUCGUACCUCUUCUCUUAAACCGAGCACUGAAAGGAAUGAUUGGGAGCCUCCGGACAAGAAGGUGGACACAAGAAAAUACCGCGCUGAACCUAAAAGCAUUUAUGAAUAUCAGCCAGGAAGGUCCUCUGUUCUGAACAAUGAAAAAUUGACUCGGGAUAUAAGCCCAGAAGAGAUAGAUUUAAAGAAUGAGCCUUGGUAUAAAUUCUUUUCGGAAUUGGAGUUUGGGAAACCGACUGACCCAGAAAAAGACAUCUACCUCUAUCAGACUGAGUUAGAGGCAGAUAUAGAAAAAAUGGAGAAAAUGUAUAAAGAUAAGAAGCAGAUGAAGGUAUUUCUUCUUCAUUCCACCUCGCCGUAUUCCCCCAGCUACCAUUCUGCAAAGAGAGAGUUUGAAACAGCUCUGGGAGAUGCCACCGGGCCGGAAAACGAAAGGCAAAUAUACAAAAGUGUUUUAGAAGGUGGCGAUAUCCCGCUGCAAGGGCUAAGCGGUCUCAAACGUCCCUCCAGCUCGGCUUCCACUAAAGUGGAUCGUAAAGGUGGGAAUGUUCAUACGAUUGCACCCUCUUCAGUUAAUAGCCGAACCCUUAACUCUAAUAAUGGUGGCCCAGUAGGUCGCCUAUGUAAACAUAAGAAACCCUUAUCUGCUGCAAAGGUCUGCAUUGCUGAAAUUCUUCCGUCCAAAUUCAAACCCAGGCUGGCUGCUCCACCUAUUUCUGGGCAGGACAGAAAGGAUCUCUUGCCUCACGAGAAAACGCAGAGCUGCGAAAACCUCCGCAGCUCUUUUGCCUCCUUUGAUAGCAGGAAGGAUUUUGAGAACUUGCUGAUGAAGUCCAAGCAAGAGUUUGCUGUCAAAUCCAUCAGUACGCAGAGCUUGCAAGAAUAUGGCUCUUCCAGCUCCAGGAAAGGCUCUCGGAAGAACGAGAAGGAGUUCACCAUGUUGUAUAAAGACAUGCACCAUAUCAACCGCUCCGGGAUCCAGCUGAGUAGCAUUUCGUCCUGCAGCGUGAAGGAAAUUGCAUCCCUGUUUGAGAAUGAGCCGAAGGACAAGAGGGAGCCCAACCCCAGUCGGGAGAACCUGGAGCAGAUCCCCAAGCACACGGUCUCCUCUCGCAUCACUGCCUUUGAGUUGCUGAUCCAGAGAUCCCUCUCCAUGCCUGCUCUCAACUUCUCCAGCUUCCAGGUCAAAUCUCCCGCUCCGAGCCUCUCUAACAGCUGCCUAGCUUCAGCUCGUUCGGCCGAAUACCUGUUGGAUUAUGCCAAGCCGGACCUGGGACCUGCCAACCUCGCCGAUACGUCCUCCUAUUCGUGCAGCAAUACGGAGGACGUGACCUCGGAAGUCAGUGACCUGGCGCCUGUGGAAACGCUCUCGGCUUGCACCGACGAGAUAGAUCUGUUCUCCAACGUAUCCAACGAUAGCGGCGGCGACAGCAUCACCAGUGGGCCCUCGAGAUACAAAGCUAACCAGUGCAAAGGAUCCUGCGCUGCUUCUUACACCAGGUUUACCACCAUUCGGAGGCACGAACAGCAACAGUCCGGCAGAGGGGAACCCCAAGAAGAUAAGCAGCUGCUUCCCAGAAACGUCUAUCUCAUGAGCCCUCUUCCCUUCAGACUGAGAAAACCCGUGCAGCACAGCUCCCGAAAGACUCCGCCUCUGCAGAUCCCGGGAGACCUGUUGCUGUAUAUCCGACAGAAACCUCCGGCCCCCAAACGCCUCUCUUCCUAUGACGUCCUCAAAAGGUUUAGCCACUUCCUGGAUAUGGAAACAUGCCAAAAUAGCUCCCUAAUGGACAUCCCAGGUGCCUUUAAUAAUGGGGAUGUACCAUAUGCAUUAUACCACAACCUGGACACAAACAACAACCCUCACAGGACGUACUUUGGAGAUUCAGAAUCACCAAGGCAUUUUGCACCACUUGAUUACAUGGAGAGUCCUGAAGAAUUUUCCCGCAGGCGCCACAGUGAUAAAGAGAAACUUUUAGAGGACCAGAGACGGCUUAGACGUGAGCAAGAAGAGGCUGACAUUGCAGCUAGAAGGCACACAGGGGUCAUUCCUACGCACCAUCAAUUUAUCACUAAUGAGCGGUUUGGGGACCUCCUAAUUGUAGACGAUACCGCAAAAAGGAGAUCUGGGUCAGAGAUGAGAGCUGCCAGAGCGAAGUUUGACUUUAAAGCCCAGACACUCAAGGAGCUCCCACUGAAGAAAGGGGAUGUCGUUUACAUUUAUAAGCAAAUUGAUCAGAAUUGGUUUGAAGGCGAACACCAUGGCAGAGUUGGAAUUUUCCCACAAUCAUACAUAGAGCUACUCCCUCCCACAGAAAAAGCUCAGCCUAAGAAAACAUCACCGAUACAAGUCCUGGAAUACGGUGACGCUAUUGCCAAGUUCAAUUUCAAUGGUGACACUCAAGUGGAAAUGUCUUUCAGAAAGGGCGAGAGGAUCACACUGAUUCGGCAAGUGGACGAAAACUGGUAUGAAGGAAAAAUCCCCAGCACUCACCGCCAAGGCAUCUUCCCGGUCACAUACGUGGACAUUUUCAAGCAGCCGGUGCUGAAGAACACACUAGACUAUGGCAGCUUGUCGUUCUGCCACUCCCCAAACCGGAGUCUGACAACAUCCCCGCAGGUACCUAGCAGCGCACAGAAACGCCGUUUACCUUCCCGCCGGAGCAGUACCUAUUUAUCUACUUCAUUGUACAGCUAUGUCCCGCAGAAUGAAGAUGAGCUGGAGUUAAGAGAUGGAGAUAUCAUAGAUGUCAUGGAGAAGUGUGAUGACGGCUGGUUUGUUGGUGAGCAUGACAUCUGUCAUUUCAACUCGUUUUUAAAACGUUAA